Long non-coding RNA from Pieris brassicae (large cabbage white), 289 nucleotides. RefSeq lists it as uncharacterized. The record is from RefSeq and is a predicted model, not a curated record. The transcript is spliced from 2 exons. NCBI's taxonomy places the organism in Eukaryota, Metazoa, Arthropoda, Insecta, Lepidoptera, Pieridae.
UUUAACUUGCUUUGUAACUACCGUAUACAAUCUGAUAUGAUAAAUUUAAAAUUUACAGUUAUGAUUCGUUCCUACAUUUUACAUUAAGUCACAGAUAAAGCAAUUUUUUAUAUAAUAUUCGUGUUCAAGCCCUUCAGAAAAGAAGACAUCUUGAAUGCUGUCAAAAAUUCUCAACAUAAAAUUGUUUGAUAGUUUUAACAAAAUUGACGGGAAUUCGGGCUUAUGCAGUUUGUAAAGCGAUCUACGGCGAGAACAUUUAUAAAUAAAAAAUCUGUGAAUUAAACCCUAA